This 415-nucleotide long non-coding RNA is filed under the name Drosophila melanogaster (fruit fly). Its description in RNAcentral is "long non-coding RNA:CR43827 (Dmel_CR43827)". Lineage: Eukaryota; Metazoa; Arthropoda; Insecta; Diptera; Drosophilidae. The record is from RNAcentral.
AAAUAAGUAUCAAAAUAAGUUACUAGCAACACAAUACCCAAACAAGGUGCAGCUUUAAAAACAUAUAUAAAUGUUAUUAUGAAUAUUUUGAAUCACACAAGACGAAUUAAUACGUCAAACAGUUGUCUGUGCGGUGAAAAAAGCAAGAAAAAUGCCUCCAUUGCAAAGGAUCCUGUGGCUGCGCGUCAUUUGUUUCCCGUUUGCCACCGCAGCACCGUGCGUUCAAUUGAAACAGAAAUUUAAGCUGAACAGAACUUGCAGUGCACAUUGAAUUCGCAUACUUAAUCCCACUAAAUAAAUAAAUUCAAAGAAACACACAUACACAGUGUCCAAAAGAACGAUAAAUAAACAUUGCUUGUAUGCAAUAUCACGACAUGUUAAUACAAUAUAUAAAAUAAACAAAGCCUUUGACUGG